UUUGUUGUUCGCUGUUCGCGGGAAUGGUUUAAGGCAAAAAGAAAAUGGGCAAUUAUAAAAAUGUGUGGGAGGAAAAUUAGGAUUAAAAAAAUUUUUUUGAAGAAUUAAAUUUUUUAAAAAAAAUAAAGCUUAUAAUAAUAAACUUUAAUCUUUUUUUAAAUUUAAAGUUUAUUAUUAUAAGCUUUAUUUUUUUAAAAAAUUUACUGUUAUUAUUAUAUUAAGCUUUAUUAUCAGUUUAUUUUAAAGCAGCUUUAUUCUAAAUCUGAUAAUAAUCAUAAGCUUUAUAAUCCUAAUUUUUCUCCAGCUGCAAUAUUUAUUUGGCUCCAGACAAUUGUCAGGAAUUGCCAUUGAUAACUUUUGUGAAAGUGCCGCUGAUAAAUUGUAAAUAAUUUAGAUAUCUUUUGCAAAGGAAAUUAAAUAUAUAAUAAGCUGUCAUUAAUUUUUAAUUUCAGAUUAUUUUCGAGAUUUUAUUCCAAAAUUAUCAAUAUAAUCAAUAUUAAUGACAGCUUAAUUACCCGCAGACUGGGUAAUUCCAGCUCUGCUAACUACCUAAAUAAAAGAUAUCUGGUUGAUCCUGCCUGAACUGAUGUGUUCAUUUCAAAGAUUAAGCCAUGCAUGUAUAAGUUUAAUCGUUUUAACGAGAAACCGCGAAAGGCUCAUUACAAUGGCCAUGAUUUACUUGAUCUUGAUUAUCUAAAUGGAUAACUGUGGAAAAGCUAGAGCUAAUACAUGCACCAAAGCUUUGUCCUCACGGAAAAGCGCAUUUAUUAGAACAAAACCACGCGGCUUCGGCUGCUUCUUGUUGACUCAGAAUAACUAAGCUGACCGCAUGGCCUUGUGCCGGCGGCGUGUCUUUCAAGCGUCCACAUUAUCAACUUGACGGGAGCAUAAUCGACUCCCGUGGUGGUGACGGAUAACGGAGGAUCAGGGUUCGACUCCGGAGAAGGGGCCUGAGAAAUGGCCACUACGUCUAAGGAUGGCAGCAGGCGCGCAAAUUACCCACUCUCGGCUCGAGGAGGUAGUGACGAAAAAUAACGAGACUGUUCUCUUUGAGGCCGGUCAUCGGAAUGGGUACAAUUUAAACCCUUUAACGAGUAUCAAGCAGAGGGCAAGUCUGGUGCCAGCAGCCGCGGUAAUUCCAGCUCUGCUAAUACAUAGAAUUAUUGCUGCGGUUAAAAAGCUGCGGUUAAAAAGCUGGUGUCUAGGUGUUGCUGAUACAGUUGUGAACGUCCGUGGCUGUAUAUGUGGUGACAUGUUAGGACUAUAAUGAGUUUAAGACUUAAUGAGCCUCUUAAGUGAGGACGCCAGCACUCUUUUUUUCUCUAUAUUUUAAAAAAAAACAAAAUUCCUAGCCUUUCCGGUGGAUCACUAGGCUCGUGGAUCGAUGAAGAACGCAGCAAACUGCGAUAAGUUUUGCGAACUGCAGCAGCCUUGAGCAUAAAAGUUUUGAACGCAUAUUGCCGCAUAGGGGUCAAACCCUUUGCUAUGUCUGGUUCAGGGUCAUUUUCUUUCAAAGCGAAGUCGAUCCUAAGGCACCGGCUAAAGCCGUCUAGACACUGCGGGGAGAUGAGAUACUUAACGGUAUAUUGUCUACUCGGUUGCCGAAAGGGAAGUGGGUUAAUAUUCCCACACCAGGCAUGGGAGAUGGUGAUCCGCAAGGAUUACUUUGCGCGGUGACGCAAACGAACUCGUAGACCUCGUGUGGAGUCCGGGCCAGAGUUCUCUUUUCUGGUUUAGAGAUCAUGUCCCUGAAAGUGGCUCAGCCUGAGAUAGGGAUGCUGGUCUCGUAAAGCGCAGCGGUUCCUGUUGUGUCCCGUGUGCUCCACAUGAGCCGUGAAAAUACGAGGGAGGCAAUUUAAAAUCUCCUGCCUGAUCGUACCCAUAUCCGCAGCAGGUCUCCAAGGUGAACAGCCUCUAGUCGAUAGAAUAAUGUAGGUAAGGGAAGUCGGCAAAUUAGAUUCGUAACUUCGGGAAAAGAAUUGGCUCUAAAGGUUGGGUCAGUCGGGCUGUUGUGUGAAACAGGUGGACUUUGCUCGUGGCUGCUUGAUCUUCCCUUCGGGGCGGCGCUUGUGGACUAGUAGUGAGGACUGCUUGUGGAGCGCUUCAGCUGCGUACUAUUUCGAAAGAUAUAGUACUUCGAUUGGCGCUGAACAACCAGUUUAGAACUGGCACGAACUCCGGGAAUCCGACUGUCUAAUUAAAACAGAGGAGACGGAUGGUCUUUGCAGGACGUUGACCGUGUCUGAUUUCUGCCCAGUGCUCUGAAUGUUAAGCCAAGGAAACUUGAUUAAGCGCGGGUAAACGGCGGGAGUAACUAUGACUCUCUUAAGGUAGCCAAAUGCCUCGUCGGCUAACUACCGACGCGCACGAAUGGAUCAACGAGAUUCCCACUGUCCCUAUCUACUAUCUAGCGAAACCACAGCCAAGGGAACGGGCUUGGCAAAUUUAGCGGGGAAAGAAGACCCUGUUGAGCUUGACUCUAGUCUGACUUUGUGAAGAAUCAUGAGAGGUGUAGCAUAAGUGGGAGUCGUAAGACAACAGUGAAAUACCACUACUUUCAUCGAUUCCUUACUUAAUCGGUAAAACGGGAGUUGUGUCUACGGACCUUCAUUUUUGUUUUAAGACUAGCCACUCGGUGGUUGGUUGACUCGCGCCGAUGACAUUGUCAGGCGGGGAGUUUGACUGGGGCGGUACAUCUGUCAAAUUGUAACGCAGGUGUCCUAAGGCGAGCUCAGAGAGGACGGAAACCUCUCGUUGAGCAAAAAGGCAAAUGCUUACUUGAUCUUGAUUUUCAGUACGAAUACAGACCGCGAAAGCGUGGCUUAUCGAUCCUUUUGAGUUUGUAAAGUUUACAGCAAGAGGUGUCAGAAAAGUUACCACAGGGAUAACUGGCUUGUGGCGGCCAAGCGUCCAUAGCGACGUCGCUUUUUGAUCCUUCGAUGUCGGCUCUUCCUAUCAUUGCGAAGCAGAAUUCGCCAAGCGUUGGAUUGUUCACCCACCAAUAGGGAACGUGAGCUGGGUUUAGACCGUCGUGAGACAGGUUAGUUUUACCCUACUAAAUACUUGUUGCUAUGAUGGUAAUCCUGCUUAGUACGAGAGGAACCGCAGGUUCAGACAUUUGGUUCAUGUGCUUGGUCGAUAGGCCAAUGGCGCGAAGCUACCAUCUGAGGGAUUAUGACUGAACGCCUCUAAGUCAGAAUCCCGCCCAGUCAUGAUAGCAAUAUAUAUCGCUCUCCGGUGUCGGAAGGCAAAAUGUAUGCCACUUUUUGUGGUAGUACAAGCCCCAGUAUCUGGCAUUUUCUUUCUACUAUAAUUGGUAGUUGGUUGCUAAAAGCUUAGCACUCCACGUGCAGGUGUAACGUCGGGGCGCAAAAUCACUUGUAUACGACUUGAAUACUGGUCAGGGGGUUGUAAACAGUAGAGCAGCUCUUCGCUGCGAUCUGCUGAGACUUAGCCCUUGAUCGGAUGAUUU
Molecule: non-coding RNA, 3472 nt
Organism: Meloidogyne enterolobii
Lineage: Eukaryota; Metazoa; Nematoda; Chromadorea; Rhabditida; Meloidogynidae
Source: the annotation of a GenBank genome assembly